This 478-nucleotide long non-coding RNA is filed under the name Neodiprion pinetum (white pine sawfly). RNAcentral describes it as "uncharacterized LOC124221483". Lineage: Eukaryota; Metazoa; Arthropoda; Insecta; Hymenoptera; Diprionidae. The record is from RNAcentral.
GGGGCAGAGAAGAGAAACCAAAUACAAAAUAGUAAUAGCCCUUUGCCGCAGCAUAGAUCCAUACAAGAUUCCAAGUAUUUGACAACAGUGAUACCUUAUCACAUGGACAGUGGCCCACCUGAUAAUCAAGCUUUACAAGUCCUCAUUAAGAUAUUAAAGGCUAUUGAUGAGGAUAGUUCAACGGUGCCCACAUUAUUAACGGACUACAUAUUGAAAGUUCUGUGCCCCACCUAGUGAUCCACUAGUACAUAUCCUCCGACGUGACAUCGCUGUGCUACGUAUAAAGAAGAAAAGAUUUAUUAAGAUGCAGAUUGCUCCUCUCUUCUUGCCAUUGUGCUUUCAUAUAGCACCACAAUAAAUCUUAUAGAAAUGAGCUCUCAUCGAGAUUUCUCGGUAUUUCUAACUCGACGCGAGAAGGCAAAAAUCAAUGUAAUGCCAUCUGUAAGGUAAUUGGACUCGUAUUUGCACUACGAGAACU